Molecule: ribosomal RNA, 448 nt
Filed under: uncultured Leptolinea sp.
Lineage: Bacteria; Bacillati; Chloroflexota; Anaerolineae; Anaerolineales; Anaerolineaceae
Description: bacterial SSU rRNA
Rfam family: Bacterial small subunit ribosomal RNA
Source: RNAcentral
CCCGCACAAGCAGCGGAGCGUGUGGUUUAAUUCGAUGUUACACGAAGAACCUUACCAGGGUUUGACAUGCAAGUGGUAGGAAGCCGAAAGGUGACCGACCCUUCGGGGAGCUUGCACAGGUGCUGCAUGGCUGUCGUCAGCUCGUGUCGUGAGAUGUUCGGUUAAGUCCGCUAACGAGCGCAACCCUCGCUGUGUGUUAUAUGCGUCACACGGGACUGCCGGUCUUAAGCGGAGGAAGGUGGGGAUGAUGUCAAGUCAGCAUGGCCUUUAUAUCCUGGGCUACACACACGCUACAAUGGCCAACACAAUAGGUUGCUAAGCCGCGAGGUGGCGCCAAUCCAUAAAGUUGGUCUCAGUUCAGAUUGUAGGCUGCAACCCGCCUGCAUGAAGAUGGAGUUGCUAGUAACCGCAGGUCAGCUAUACUGCGGUGAAUACGUUCCCGGGGCUU